AUUAUUUUAAGUAGUUUGAAUAACCCAGCAUGAUUUUCAAAGGCUGAGAAACUCUGAACCAUUGUGAGGUCAUAACUUCAGCUCCACCUCGGAUGAUCAGUCUUGGUGAGCAGACAGUUAACUCAAAUGAUGGGGUAGCCUCAGUUCCUAAGACGCGGGCAAGGAAGUAACGGCAAUGGAUAUGGAUGCUUUGAGGGCAGUAUUACACUUGACCCAUCCACAGGAUGUUCAGAGCAGUGCCUGUCACAAGUCCAGCUUUCUCAUGGACCCUGCUGCUGAAGCUGGACCCCUCCACUGUCUUUCCCUAUGAAGACAGGGACCAGCACUUACCACCACCACCUACGAGCCACCAGCUGCUCCUUCCUGAGAAGAUGGAACAGACUCAAAAAUUAACUAACUUGUCCAAUCUCAUACAGCCAGAAAAGUGCAGAGCAGGAAGUAAAAUCCAUGAAGUCCAACUAGAAGCCAGUUCAGCCGACUCCCGCAGAGUCCCCUUGCCACCCUGCCUAUACUGCCGGCCUUCUUCUGAUUAUGCUUGGAUUAGAUGUCCCUACAGGCAUCGUUGUUAACAACCGGAUAAUUCUCCCUGGCUUAUAUUUCUAGGCUGUCAUUUUCCAAGAGGCUUUUAGACAUGAAAGCUAAUGGGAUUACCCCAUCCAUCUAUUGUUCUGAGCCAAGCCUUCUCACCUAAGCAAGCACUUUUCUGGUGGAUGUUGAAUCUCUUUCUUCCUAUAUUUGAAUUCCUUCAAAUUGGCUGGGCUUCUGGUAAGCAUGACAACACUAGCAACCUGAUGUCGGGGAGGGCUGCUGGAAGCCACCUUGGAUAAUGGUGAAGAAGGUGAAACCACGUGUCCACCUCCACACUAGCCUCUGAGCUUGAGAUGUUCACCAGAAGCCUCACUGUUCAACCUUGCCUCUUAAUUUGUGAAAUAAUACAUGCACACAGAUCCACUCAGCCUUACACACCCCUGCUCUGCCACUCAGUACAGACAUGCUGCCUGAAGUUCCUGACUUCCUUGGCACCUUUCCAUAGUGGUACCUUUCCAUCCUUCCUGGUUAAGCAAAUUUGGGAAAGAAUCAUCUCAGUUGCCAGUCUGGUUUAUAAUUAUCCCAACAGGCCUCACUUUCCAUUUAUGAACUUGGCAAAAGAAAUCACCAAGGAAAAACCUGCCCUACUAAUGACUCAGCUGACGUCACUCAUCAUUGCCUUACUGCUUUAAACACAUUCACCUGAUAAGCCUAUGGUGACUAAUAAAUUCAAAGAACUUAUACCCAUUCUCUUUCUGUUGGGACUAGUUAUUUAUCAUUGCUCCUAAGUAUUUGAAAUCUGCUUUCUUUGUUGAAGUGCUCAUUUAGCUGUCCUACUCCCAGGAUGGAAGAUUUUCAGCAUUCAGAUUGAGGGUUCAAUGAAUUUCACUUGCCUUAGGGUCAAUAUU
Molecule: long non-coding RNA, 1436 nt
Organism: Equus caballus (horse)
Lineage: Eukaryota; Metazoa; Chordata; Mammalia; Perissodactyla; Equidae
Source: Ensembl